GUUCUCCUACGGGACGCAGCAGUGGGGGAUAUUGCACAAUGGGGGAAACCCUGAUGCAGCGACGCCGCGUGGGCGAAGAAGUAGUUCGGUAUGUAAAGCCCUAUCAGCAGGGAAGAAGAAAUGACGGUACCUGAGUAAGAAGCACCGGCUAAAUACGUGCCAGCAGCCGCGGUAAUACGUGUGGUGCAAGCGUUAUCCGGAUUUACUGGGUGUAAAGGGAGCGCAGGCGGCACGGCAAGCCUGAUGUGAAAGCCCGCGGCCCAACCGCGGGACUGCAUUGGGAACUACCGGGCUGGAGUGCCGGG
Molecule: ribosomal RNA, 305 nt
Filed under: uncultured bacterium
Lineage: Bacteria
Description: bacterial SSU rRNA
Rfam family: Bacterial small subunit ribosomal RNA
Source: RNAcentral